AUGACGGCGAUGCUCCGAUCUGCGCUUGGGUCCGCGCUCCGGCCUCCCGCACCGGCCUCCCGCUUCUUCCGCAAGGGCGUCUCCGGAAGCCGCGACGCCACAAGGCGGAAGUUGUCCUCCAGUGGCCGAGAUGGAUCAAACAACAGCACACCUGCCGAUCUUUUUGGUGAUGGUUCCUCCAAGACCUGGAGAAGGCCAGAAGUUGUGUUUAUCACCGCAGCAGCCCUCUCAAUGGCUACCUACACAUACAUUGUGAAUGGGAAGACCGUGUUAGGGUACCAGCGUGAAGUGAUGGAGAACCAGGACGAGGUGAAGCCGGAGAAAGACAACGCCAUCUAG
Molecule: ribosomal RNA, 339 nt
Filed under: Triticum aestivum (bread wheat)
Lineage: Eukaryota; Viridiplantae; Streptophyta; Magnoliopsida; Poales; Poaceae
Description: partial small subunit ribosomal RNA
Source: RNAcentral